CUGGGUUGCUCGGCUUUCACGGUUGGCUUUUAUGUUUUAUUAUAUUCAUAAGGCACGCGGUGAAUGCCAAGUAAUCCGAG
RNAcentral lists this microRNA precursor (80 nucleotides) under Tigriopus californicus. RNAcentral's name for it is "mir-124 microRNA precursor family". The stretch from base 5 to 75 matches the Rfam family "mir-124 microRNA precursor family". Rfam says of the family: The mature ~21nt miRNAs are processed from hairpin precursor sequences represented here, in this case originating from the 3' arm. The bounds of the precursors are predicted based on conservation and base pairing and are not generally known. Lineage: Eukaryota; Metazoa; Arthropoda; Copepoda; Harpacticoida; Harpacticidae. The record is from RNAcentral.